RNAcentral lists this ribosomal RNA (468 nucleotides) under uncultured bacterium. Its description in RNAcentral is "partial 16S ribosomal RNA". It matches the Rfam family "Bacterial small subunit ribosomal RNA", at positions 28 to 507 of the family's 1533-position model. The record is from RNAcentral.
GACGAACGCUGGCGGCGUGCUUAACACAUGCAAGUCGAACGGAAAGGCCCUGCUUUUGCGGGGUGCUCGAGUGGCGAACGGGUGAGUAACACGUGAGUAACCUGCCCUUGACUUUGGGAUAACUUCAGGAAACUGGGGCUAAUACCGGAUAGGAGCUCCUGCUGCAUGGGGGGGGUUGGAAAGUUUCGGCGGUUGGGGAUGGACUCGCGGCUUAUCAGCUUGUUGGUGGGGUAGUGGCUUACCAAGGCUUUGACGGGUAGCCGGCCUGAGAGGGUGACCGGCCACAUGGGGACUGAGAUACGGCCCAGACUCCUACGGGAGGCAGCAGUGGGGAAUAUUGCACAAUGGGCGGAAGCCUGAUGCAGCAACGCCGCGUGCGGGAUGACGGCCUUCGGGUUGUAAACCGCUUUCGCCUGUGACGAAGCGUGAGUGACGGUAAUGGGUAAAGAAGCACCGGCUAACUACGUG